AGCGAACGUUAGCGGCGGGCCUAACACAUGCAAGUCGAACGCGAAAGGUCUUCGGACUGAGUAGAGUGGCGCACGGGUGAGUAACACGUAGGUAAUCUACCCUUUGGCGGGGGAUAACGUUCCGAAAGGAGCGCUAAUACCGCAUAAGACCACGUGGUCUCCGGACCGAGUGGGGAAAGGUGGCCUCUUCUUGAAAGCUACCACCGAAGGAUGAGCCUGCGUCCCAUCAGCUAGUUGGUAAGGUAAUGGCUUACCAAGGCAAAGACGGGUAGCUGGUUUGAGAGAAUGAUCAGCCACACUGGCACUGGAACACGGGCCAGACUCCUACGGGAGGCAGCAGUGAGGAAUAUUGGGCAAUGGGCGAAAGCCUGACCCAGCCACGCCGCGUGAGUGAUGAAGGCCCUCGGGUCGUAAAGCUCUGUGGAGAGGGACGAAAACCCUGGUUUCAAAUAGGCUCCAGGCUUGACGGUACCUCUUUAGCAAGCACCGGCUAACUCUGUGCCAGCAGCCGCGG
RNAcentral lists this ribosomal RNA (514 nucleotides) under uncultured bacterium. RNAcentral describes it as "bacterial SSU rRNA". It matches the Rfam family "Bacterial small subunit ribosomal RNA", at positions 29 to 520 of the family's 1533-position model. The record is from RNAcentral.